This 1382-nucleotide ribosomal RNA is filed under the name uncultured bacterium. Its description in RNAcentral is "bacterial SSU rRNA". It matches the Rfam family "Bacterial small subunit ribosomal RNA". The record is from RNAcentral.
AGAGUUUGAUCCUGGCUCAGGAUGAACGCUGGCGGCGUGCUUAACACAUGCAAGUCGAGCGAAGCACUUAUGAAAGAUUCUUCGGAUGAAUUCAUUUGUGACUGAGCGGCGGACGGGUGAGUAACGCGUGGGUAACCUGCCUCAUACAGGGGGAUAACAGUUGGAAACGACUGCUAAUACCGCAUAAGCGCACAGUACCGCAUGGUACCGUGUGAAAAACUCCGGUGGUAUGAGAUGGACCCGCGUCUGAUUAGCUAGUUGGUGGGGUAACGGCCUACCAAGGCGACGAUCAGUAGCCGACCUGAGAGGGUGACCGGCCACAUUGGGACUGAGACACGGCCCAAACUCCUACGGGAGGCAGCAGUGGGGAAUAUUGCACAAUGGGGGAAACCCUGAUGCAGCAACGCCGCGUGAGUGAAGAAGUAUUUCGGUAUGUAAAGCUCUAUCAGCAGGGAAGAAAAUGACGGUACCUGACUAAGAAGCCCCGGCUAACUACGUGCCAGCAGCCGCGGUAAUACGUAGGGGGCAAGCGUUAUCCGGAAUUACUGGGUGUAAAGGGAGCGUAGGCGGGAUCGCAAGUCAGAUGUGAAAACUAUGGGCUUAACCCAUAAACUGCAUUUGAAACUGUGGUUCUUGAGUGAAGUAGAGGUAAGCGGAAUUCCUAGUGUAGCGGUGAAAUGCGUAGAUAUUAGGAGGAACAUCAGUGGCGAAGGCGGCUUACUGGGCUUUAACUGACGCUGAGGCUCGAAAGCGUGGGGAGCAAACAGGAUUAGAUACCCUGGUAGUCCACGCCGUAAACGAUGAUUACUAGGUGUGGGGGGACUGACCCCUUCCUGCCCCGCAAAACCCAUAAGUAAUCCACCUGGGGAGGACCAACGCCAGGGUGAAACUCAAAGGAAUUGACGGGGGCCCGCACAAGCAGUGGAGUAUGUGGAUUAAUUCGAAGCAACGUGAAGAACCUUACCAGGUCUUGACAUCGGAUGCAUACUUAAGAGAUUAGGGAAGUCCUUCGGGACAUCCAGACAGGUGGUGCAUGGUUGUCGUCAGCUCGUGUCGUGAGAUGUUGGGUUAAGUCCCGCAACGAGCGCAACCCUUACGGUUAGUUGAUACGCAAGAUCACUUUAGCCGGACUGCCGUUGUCAAAACGGAGGAAGGUGGGGAGGACGUCAAAUCAUCAUGCCCCUUAUGACCUGGGCUACACACGUACUACAAUGGCAGUCAUACAGAGGGAAGCAAAACCGCGAGGUGGAGCAAAUCCCUAAAAGCUGUCCCAUUUCAGAAUACUGGCUGCAACCCGCCUGCAUGAAGUCGGAAUUGCUAGUAAUCGCGGAUCAGCAUGGCGCGGUGAAUAAAAUCCCGGGCCUUGUACUCACCGCCCGUCA